UACGUAGGGUGCGAGCGUUAAUCGGAAUUACUGGGCGUAAAGCGUGCGCAGGCGGUUCGUUGUGUCCGUUGUGAAAGCCCCGGGCUUAACCUGGGAACUGCGAUGGAAACUAGCGAGCUGGAGUGUGGCAGAGGGGGGUGGAAUUCCGCGUGUAGCAGUGAAAUGCGUAGAGAUGCGGAGGAACACCGAUGGCGAAGGCAGCCCCCUGGGCUAACACUGACGCUCAGGCACGAAAGCGUGGGGAGCAAACAGG
RNAcentral lists this ribosomal RNA (253 nucleotides) under uncultured bacterium. RNAcentral's name for it is "partial 16S ribosomal RNA". It matches the Rfam family "Bacterial small subunit ribosomal RNA", at positions 524 to 776 of the family's 1533-position model. The record is from RNAcentral.